CACGUAGGGGGCAAGCGUUGUCCGGAAUCAUUGGGCGUAAAGAGCUCGUAGGCGGCUCAGUAAGUCGGGUGUGAAACCUCCAGGCUCAACCUGGAGACGCCACCUGAUACUGCUGUGACUUGAGUCCGGUAGGGGAGCGUGGAAUUCCUGGUGUAGCGGUGAAAUGCGCAGAUAUCAGGAGGAACACCAGUGGCGAAGGCGGCGCUCUGGGCCGGAACUGACGCUGAGGAGCGAAAGCGUGGGGAGCAAACAGG
Molecule: ribosomal RNA, 254 nt
Filed under: uncultured bacterium
Lineage: Bacteria
Description: partial 16S ribosomal RNA
Rfam family: Bacterial small subunit ribosomal RNA
Source: RNAcentral